This 1346-nucleotide ribosomal RNA is filed under the name uncultured bacterium. Its description in RNAcentral is "bacterial SSU rRNA". It matches the Rfam family "Bacterial small subunit ribosomal RNA", at positions 28 to 1381 of the family's 1533-position model. The record is from RNAcentral.
GACGAACGCUGGCGGCGUGCUUAACACAUGCAAGUCGAACGGAAAGGCCCUGCUUUUGUGGGGUGCUCGAGUGGCGAACGGGUGAGUAACACGUGAGUAACCUGCCCUUGACUUUGGGAUAACUUCAGGAAACUGGGGCUAAUACCGGAUAGGAGCUCCUGCUGCAUGGUGGGGGUUGGAAAGUUUCGGCGGUUGGGGAUGGACUCGCGGCUUAUCAGCUUGUUGGUGGGGUAGUGGCUUACCAAGGCUUUGACGGGUAGCCGGCCUGAGAGGGUGACCGGCCACAUUGGGACUGAGAUACGGCCCAGACUCCUACGGGAGGCAGCAGUGGGGAAUAUUGCACAAUGGGCGGAAGCCUGAUGCAGCAACGCCGCGUGCGGGAUGACGGCCUUCGGGUUGUAAACCGCUUUCGCCUGUGACGAAGCGUGAGUGACGGUAAUGGGUAAAGAAGCACCGGCUAACUACGUGCCAGCAGCCGCGGUGAUACGUAGGGUGCGAGCGUUGUCCGGAUUUAUUGGGCGUAAAGGGCUCGUAGGUGGUUGAUCGCGUCGGAAGUGUAAUCUUGGGGCUUAACCCUGAGCGUGCUUUCGAUACGGGUUGACUUGAGGAAGGUAGGGGAGAAUGGAAUUCCUGGUGGAGCGGUGGAAUGCGCAGAUAUCAGGAGGAACACCAGUGGCGAAGGCGGUUCUCUGGGCCUUUCCUGACGCUGAGGAGCGAAAGCGUGGGGAGCGAACAGGCUUAGAUACCCUGGUAGUCCACGCUGUAAACGGUGGGUACUAGGUGUGGGGUCCAUUCCACGGGUUCCGUGCCGUAGCUAACGCUUUAAGUACCCCGCCUGGGGAGUACGGCCGCAAGGCUAAAACUCAAAGGAAUUGACGGGGCCCCGCACAAGCGGCGGAGCAUGCGGAUUAAUUCGAUGCAACGCGUAGAACCUUACCUGGGUUUGACAUGGAUCGGGAGUGCUCAGAGAUGGGUGUGCCUCUUUUGGGGUCGGUUCACAGGUGGUGCAUGCCUGUCGUCAGCUCGUGUCGUGAGAUGUUGGGUUAAGUCCCGCAACGAGCGCAACCCUUGUUCACUGUUGCCAGCACGUUAUGGUGGGGACUCAGUGGAGACCGCCGGGGUCAACUCGGAGGAAGGUGGGGAUGACGUCAAGUCCUCAUGCCCCUUAUGUCCAGGGCUUCACGCAUGCUACAAUGGCUGGUACAGAGAGUGGCGAGCCUGCGAGGGUGAGCGAAUCUCGGAAAGCCGGUCUCAGUUCGGAUUGGGGUCUGCAACUCGACCUCAUGAAGUCGGAGUCGCUAGUAAUCGCAGAUCAGCAACGCUGCGGUGAAUACGUUCCCGGGGCU